Molecule: long non-coding RNA, 774 nt
Filed under: Taeniopygia guttata (zebra finch)
Lineage: Eukaryota; Metazoa; Chordata; Aves; Passeriformes; Estrildidae
Description: lncRNA (ENSTGUG00000027036.1)
Source: RNAcentral
GGUGAAUUGUUCAUCUCCCCUUCCUAUACAGACAAUCUUGUCCCUUGGUUGGACUACCAGAAACAUCAAGGAAGCUGCCUUUGCUUUGCAGGCUUGAACCUUCUUGGGGCCACAUGCAGGAUUUUUCUCCUCCUGGGAUGAUGAGAGCUGUGGUAGUGUGUGCACACUGUGUCAGACCUGAGAUCAGCUGCCAAGUGUGGACACCCACAGAAGGAUUUUCUUUACAGAACUAUCUUAAAAAUGGAAAUGUCUGUCUCCUCCAGCUAUGCUGGCAGACAGUGUUUACCCAAAGAUCCAGAUACACAAGACCUUGUUAUCAACUGCAGCUUUUACACAACUUUCAAGUGCUGGACUCCCUUUCAGAGAAGAGUUGGGUGCCAUGCCAGCUCCAAGAGAACUCUCAGGAAGAGGUGUAAGAGAUGUGGGGGAAGCAGCAGGCUGCUGGGGGGGAUGGCAAGUCCAAUGUCCAGGGCAGGGGGUUGUCUUAGGUUGGAAAUGGAGGUGAGCAUUCUAUUCCUAUCUAAUGGAGGUGAGGCAGUUAUCUUCUGUUCAUUGGCAGCUUUCUUUGUCUCUUCCACAACCCAUCCUCCCUCCAGGAGAUCUCUGCUGUUCAUGGCCAGUGAGUGUCCCUGCACGGCUGAGAAAAUUCCAUCAUCCCGUGGGGAGAUGCUCUGCCCAUGGGAGGAGCCAAGCAUUCCUACCUGGGUACAAUCUGACUUUGGAACACCACAACAGCCUUUUCCACUGGAUCCCUUUUCCACUGAAUCCACAUGA